GGUACUAGGUGUAGGAGGUAUCGACCCCUCCUGUGCCGGAGUUAACGCAAUAAGUACCCCGCCUGGGGAGUACGGCCGCAAGGCUGAAACUCAAAGGAAUUGACGGGGGCCCGCACAAGCGGUGGAGUAUGUGGUUUAAUUCGACGCAACGCGAAGAACCUUACCAAGCCUUGACAUUGCUCGCAACGGGUAGAGAUACCUGGUUCUUCUUCGGAAGACGAGACAACAGGUGGUGCAUGGCUGUCGUCAG
Molecule: ribosomal RNA, 250 nt
Filed under: uncultured bacterium
Lineage: Bacteria
Description: partial 16S ribosomal RNA
Rfam family: Bacterial small subunit ribosomal RNA
Source: RNAcentral